Molecule: ribosomal RNA, 402 nt
Filed under: uncultured bacterium
Lineage: Bacteria
Description: bacterial SSU rRNA
Rfam family: Bacterial small subunit ribosomal RNA
Source: RNAcentral
UGGGGAAUAUUGCACAAUGGGCGAAAGCCUGAUGCAGCAACGCCGCGUGAGUGAUGAAGGCCUUCGGGUUCUAAAGCUCUGUCUUCUGGGACGAUAAUGACGGUACCAGAGGAGGAAGCCACGGCUAACUACGUGCCAGCAGCCGCGGUAAUACGUAGGUGGCAAGCGUUGUCCGGAUUUACUGGGCGUAAAGGAUGCGUAGGCGGAUACUUAAGUCAGAUGUGAAAAUCCCGGGCUUAACUUGGGAACUGCAUUUGAAACUGGGUAUCUAGAGUGCGGGAGAGGAAAGUGGAAUUCCUAGUGCAGCGGUGAAAUGCGUAGAGAUUAGGAAGAACACCAGUGGCGAAGGCGACUUUCUGGACCGUAACUGACGCUGAGGCAUGAAAGCGUGGGGAGCAAACA